GAAUCCCAACAGAUUUUGAAAAGCUAGUAGAACUAAUUCUUGAUAUUCCAUGUUAUUCCCAACUUUACUGUUUUAUACUUAGGCCUAAACACAAGCUUUUACCAUUUCUUCACCCUUAGCAUUUUAAUGUCCAAAGGUUUUUAAAAGCCCCAUUCCACACACCAUUUUUUGUCAUGUAACAGGAACAAGAAAUCCACCAGCACCAAAAACUUUAAAACUCAGUUCUUUAGUAGCAGUCUUUAGAACACUCUAGAUUAAAAAUGUAAUAAUUUGUUAAAGCAUGCAAAAGAGUGUAACAGUGAAUAAAAACCACAACUGACAAAAAUAUUGGUUAACAUUCCAAAUAUGUAUAACCAAUGAACUUGGCCUAGGUUUUUUUUUUUUUAUUGGUAUUCACUUCAGAAACUUGAAUCCACAGAUAUAAGCAGUAUAUUACCAGAAAGUUACAAGUAAACACAGAUUAUACAUGCAAAUUUCUGUUCACAAAGG
Molecule: long non-coding RNA, 489 nt
Organism: Neofelis nebulosa (Clouded leopard)
Lineage: Eukaryota; Metazoa; Chordata; Mammalia; Carnivora; Felidae
Exons: 2
Source: RefSeq, a predicted model, not a curated record